RNAcentral lists this transfer RNA (74 nucleotides) under Bacilli bacterium. Its description in RNAcentral is "tRNA-Gly". It matches the Rfam family "tRNA". Rfam says of the family: Transfer RNA (tRNA) molecules are approximately 80 nucleotides in length. Their secondary structure includes four short double-helical elements and three loops (D, anti-codon, and T loops). The record is from RNAcentral. Lineage: Bacteria; Bacillati; Bacillota; Bacilli.
GCAGGUGUGGUUCAAUGGUAGAAUGCGGCCUUGCCAAGGCUGAGACGUGGGUCCGAUUCCCAUCACUUGCUCCA